AAAUUUGAAAUCUGGCGCAAGCCCGAGUUGUAAUUUGUAGAGGAUGCUUCUGGGUAGCGACCGAUCUAAGUUCCUUGGAACAGGACGUCAUAGAGGGUGAGAAUCCCGUAUGUGACCGGCCCGCACCCUUUACGUAGCUCCUUCGACGAGUCGAGUUGUUUGGGAAUGCAGCUCUAAAUGGGAGGUAAAUUUCUUCUAAAGCUAAAUACCGGCCAGAGACCGAUAGCGCACAAGUAGAGUGAUCGAAAGAUGAAAAGUACUUUGGAAAGAGAGUUAAAAAGCACGUGAAAUUGUUGAAAGGGAAGCGCCUGCAACCAGACUUCGCGGCAGUGUUCCGCCGGUCUUCUGACCGGUUCAUUCUCUGUCGCGAGGCCAUCAUCGUCUGGGCCCGCCGGAUAAGACCUGAGGAAUGUGGCUCCCCCUCGGGGGAGUGUUAUAGCCUCUGGUGAUGCGGCGUGGCUCGGGCGAGGUCCGCGCUUCGGCAAGGAUGAUGGCGUAAUGGUUGUCGGCGGCCCGUCUUGAAACACGGACCAAGGAGUCUAACAUCUAUGCGAGUGUUCGGGUGUCAAACCCCUACGCGUAAUGAAAGUGAACGGAGGUGGGAACCGCAAGGUGCACCAUCGACCGAUCCUGAUGUCCUCGGAUGGAUUUGAGUAAGAGCAUAGCUGUUGGGACCCGAAAGAUGGUGAACUAUGCCUGAAUAGGGUGAAGCCAGAGGAAACUCUGG
Molecule: ribosomal RNA, 727 nt
Filed under: Cercospora apii
Lineage: Eukaryota; Fungi; Ascomycota; Dothideomycetes; Mycosphaerellales; Mycosphaerellaceae
Description: eukaryotic LSU rRNA
Rfam family: Eukaryotic large subunit ribosomal RNA
Source: RNAcentral